Molecule: non-coding RNA, 50 nt
Organism: Photobacterium iliopiscarium
Lineage: Bacteria; Pseudomonadati; Pseudomonadota; Gammaproteobacteria; Vibrionales; Vibrionaceae
Source: Rfam
GCACCUCCCUUACAAGGAGGGGGUCACUGGUUCGAGCCCGGUAUCGCCCA